RNAcentral lists this ribosomal RNA (483 nucleotides) under uncultured bacterium. Its description in RNAcentral is "partial 16S ribosomal RNA". It matches the Rfam family "Bacterial small subunit ribosomal RNA", at positions 28 to 523 of the family's 1533-position model. The record is from RNAcentral.
GACGAACGCUGGCGGCGUGCUUAACACAUGCAAGUCGAACGAUGAAGCUGGAGCUUGCUCCGGUGGAUUAGUGGCGAACGGGUGAGUAACACGUGAGCAAUCUGCCCUUGACUCUGGGAUAACUGCGGGAAACUGUAGCUAAUACCGGAUAUGAGGCUUGGAGGCAUCUCCAGGUCUGGAAAGAAUUUCGGUCAAGGAUGAGCUCGCGGCCUAUCAGCUAGUUGGUGAGGUAAUGGCUCACCAAGGCGACGACGGGUAGCCGGCCUGAGAGGGUGACCGGCCACACUGGGACUGAGACACGGCCCAGACUCCUACGGGAGGCAGCAGUGGGGAAUAUUGCACAAUGGGCGAAAGCCUGACGCAGCAGCGCCGCGUGAGGGAUGAAGGCCUUCGGGUUGUAAACCUCUUUUAGCAGGGAAGAAGCGAAAGUGACGGUACCCGCAGAAAAAGCACCGGCUAACUACGUGCCAGCCGCCGCCGUAA